UCAAUUCAAGAUCAUAAAUACAUAAUUAAUACAAAGGUCUAAAUAAAAACCACAACUUCCUAAUAAUGCCCAAAACUCGGUGUCAUAUCACGAGCAUCCAAUAAGAGUAACAAGUUUCAACUGAACAAUAACAUCUAUCUAGAAAAGAAAUACUUAAAUAAAAAUGAAUAAGUAGGGAAGGGGGAUUCCAUGUGCUGUGGUUCGGAUAAAGUAUAGCAUCUCACCACGAAGACUACAAUAACAUACUCCUACUCAGCUCAAUGGUACCGCAAAUACUAGUCUGAGAACCUAUACAAAAUAUGUAGAAGUAUAGUAUGAGUACAAAAUCAUGGUACUUAAUAAGUAUUAAGUCUAGCCUUGAAGAUGUAGUGGUGAGAGGUCGGCAUCGACACCUACUAGCAGCUUAAUAAGCAUAUGAAGCAUAUAUGGAACAUGGACUAGGGCAUGAUAUCAUUAAAUGGGCGUGCCAAAAGAAACUCAAUAAAAACUAGAAUUUAGACAUGCUUUUCAAACAAGGAUAUAGAAUACAAUAUCAAUUAUCUAAGAGCCUUCAAUAUCAUGAUACGAGUGAUCAACGUUGACACAUAAUAUAAGAGCCACUGGAUGAGUCAAAUGGGCGUGCCAUUUGAGUUAUCAGCUCAAUGGUACCGCAAAUACUAGUCUGAGAACCUAUACAAAAUAUGUAGAAGUAUAGUAUGAGUACAAAAUCAUGGUACUUAAUAAGUAUUAAGUCUAGCCUUGAAGAUGUAGUGGUGAGAGGUCGGCAUCGACACCUACUAGCAGCUUAAUAAGCAUAUGAAGCAUAUAUGGAACAUGGACUAGGGCAUGAUAUCAUCAAAUGGGCGUGCCAAAAGAAACUCAAUAAAAACUAGAAUUUAGACAUGCUUUUCAAACAAGGAUAUAGAAUACAAUAUCAAUUAUCUAAGAGCCUUCAAUAUCAUGAUACGAGUUAUCAACGUUCACACAUAAUAUAAGAGCCACUGGAUGAGUCUGAGCUACAAAUACAUGCUCAAACAAUGAUGAUGGCACAAUAUCAGUUAACUCUAUUUUUUUCGUAAUCACAAAAUGAGUCUAUCAAUAGUCAUAUGCAUGCAAAUAUAUAAAUAGGAGAACAAGGCUCAAAUACAAAAAACGAUCGCUUGGAUUAUUACAGAACUAGCUGAAAACUCCACAUUGGGACACUGGUAGUUCUUCAAUGCCCGCACAUGAACUCCACUACAACUUAAAUCCAUGUCUACACAUACGGUACACAAGUAUAGUAUGCGUACAUCAACAUAAAAUCAAUAAGCAUUAUCGAUCAUCCCUAACAAGGAAGUGGAUAGGGUUGAUAUCAGAAGAUGCUCACUUCAUCAUAAGCCUGUGCAUUUAUCAUAUCUAACAACAAUAACAAAAAGGCACAGAAAAAUUAUAAUCACUUUAUACACCGUCAAGUAUAUAAUGAUGUGAACAAAUAGAAUAUAUGACAUGAUGUAUCAUAUCUCAACUAUGCAAGUCCAAUGCACAUAUCGAAUACCCUAAAUAACAUGUAACUCAAUAUUUAUAUGAAUUGCAACUACUGGAGCCUCUAAAUGUCUAUGCAUGAUGAAAAAUCAAAUAUUAUAUUAAACCUGACACUCUUCAAGUGCCAAAUCAAACUUGCGCACACACUACCGGUGGUUCAGUGAUACAUUGACUCAUGAGGGAUGGAUCCAUAUCCACACGCAAAAUUAUAAAUAUACAAACAACUUGCGGUGCAAAAUCACACCACCAAUUCACGUACAUAUUAUAACCUGCAUGGAAAACUCAAUGUGAUAAGUGCAUGCCCAAUUCACAUGCAUACCAUAAACCGCACCGACUCAACGUGCCAUAACCAUAAAAAGGUGUGAAUUACAUAUACAAAUGAGAAUGCAUAUAUUUGGUGCAUGAACUAUAUGUAAUCCGACAUAUUGAUCAACUAUAAUAUUAAACUACUAUGUGAAUUCAAGGAUAUCUAUUACAUUGUACGAGCAUGGGAGAUAUGAUCAAGUAGUCAUGUAACAAGUAGAACGUAAAAUGAAAUACAUGGCAUGUAAAAAGUACCCCAAGAUAGAAACCUCGGUAUUCGAAUACAGGGCAUUGGCCUCAACUGCAACUGAAGUUACUUGGAUAACUUAUAUUCUUAGAGAUAUUGGGGUAUACUUAAAGAGAGCUCUAGUGUUGUUCAGUAAUCUCAGUGCGUUGUACAUCACAGUAAAUCGAGUUUUACAUGGUAGAACAAAACACGUGGAGAUGGAUUAUGAAUUCUAUAAGAGAGAAGGUAGCUAAUAGACAACUUGUCACACGCUUAGUUUGAUCAAAGGAUUAGAUGGCUGAGAUUCAUACCAAGGCAGUAUCUAAGGAACACUUUGCAGUUUUCUGAAGCAAGCUAGGAGUCGAUGAUCCUUCCUACACUAGCCUGAGGGGAUCAUAGAUAGAGGUCGAUAGUGAUCGAGUCUCUUCU
This 2458-nucleotide long non-coding RNA is filed under the name Nicotiana tabacum (common tobacco). RNAcentral's name for it is "long non-coding RNA (NTAB_LNC017293)". Lineage: Eukaryota; Viridiplantae; Streptophyta; Magnoliopsida; Solanales; Solanaceae. The record is from RNAcentral.